AUUGAACGCUGGCGGCAUGCCUUACACAUGCAAGUCGAACGGUAACAGGGAGCUUGCUCCGCUGACGAGUGGCGAACGGGUGAGUAAUGUAUCGGAACGUACCAUUCAGUGGGGGAUAACGUAGCGAAAGUUACGCUAAUACCGCAUAUUCUGUGUGCAGGAAAGCAGGGGAUCGCAAGACCUUGCGCUGAUUGAGCGGCCGAUAUCAGAUUAGCUAGUUGGUGAGGUAAAGGCUCACCAAGGCGACGAUCUGUAGCGGGUCUGAGAGGAUGAUCCGCCACACUGGAACUGAGACACGGUCCAGACUCCUACGGGAGGCAGCAGUGGGGAAUUUUGGGACAAUGGGGGGCAACCCUGAUCCAGCCAUGCCGCGUGAGUGAAGAAGGCCUUCGG
This 393-nucleotide ribosomal RNA is filed under the name uncultured bacterium. Its description in RNAcentral is "bacterial SSU rRNA". It matches the Rfam family "Bacterial small subunit ribosomal RNA", at positions 30 to 421 of the family's 1533-position model. The record is from RNAcentral.